This 251-nucleotide ribosomal RNA is filed under the name uncultured prokaryote. RNAcentral's name for it is "partial 16S rRNA". It matches the Rfam family "Bacterial small subunit ribosomal RNA", at positions 525 to 775 of the family's 1533-position model. The record is from RNAcentral.
ACGGGGGGUGCAAGCGUUGUUCGGAAUCAUUGGGCGUAAAGCGCGUGUAGGCGGCUUAACAAGUCAGAUGUGAAAUCCCUGGGCUUAACCCAGGAAGUGCAUUUGAAACUGUUUGGCUUGAGUAAGGGAGAGGAAAGUGGAAUUCCUGGUGUAGAGUUGAGGUUCUGUGUUCUCAGGAGGAGCACCGGAGGCGAGUGCGGCUUUCGGGAUGGAUACUGCGUCUGAGCCGCGAAAGCGGGGGUAUCUAACAG